CUUGGCAGCAUCAGCCGCCUCCCUCUUCAUCUCUCUCCGCCUCUUCCUCCCCUUCCUCUCUCCUUCCCUCUCCUCUCCAAUCUCGUUCCCUCUUCCCCUCCUUCUAUCUUUCCAGCCCCUCCUCCCUCUCUUCUCUCCCUCUUCUUUCCUCUUCCCUUCUUUCCGACAAGGAAGCUGCUGGUCCAACAGCUAGACAGAAGUAGAAACAAGAACAAGCAGCAGCAGCCCCCACCGGCGGAGAAGGCACCAGCCAGCAGCCGCUGGCAGCGACCUUCUCCCUCUCGACUUCCUCUCUGCCUCCACCACUCUCUCCAACGCCUCCCGCCAGCCGCACAACAGUGACCGGCAAACUGCCAGGCAGCAGCGAGAAGUAGCAGCGAUGGAGGCUGCUCCGACCAGCAGCAUCAGCUGCGAAGAGGGGGGGACAACCAUCUCUCUCCCCUGUUUUCUCCCCUCCUUCCGCCUCCUCCCUCUCCCGUAUUUCUCCACUUCUCCCUCGCUAUUUCUCCCCUCUUCUCGUCUCCUCUUCUCCUUCGUCCUCUUUGUCUUUUUUUCUUCUUUCUUGCAGGUUUGACAAGGAAGCAGUCCAGCAGCACCAUCAGCCGGCAUCACUGCUCCAACCGGAAAAAUCAGCAACAACUGUUCCGACAAAGUUCGCAGUUCAAAUAACUCCAGCAAGCUUCAACGAAAAAAAAACAACUGUAAGAAUUCCGUUGAGGUUGAGGUUUUAAUACGCUAGAGAUGGGUCUCUUCAGACCUACCCGGGUUUGUUUUCUUUGUUCAAUUUAUCAUCCUAAUUUCUUUUCCUCAUUCUGAUUUGGUCGAACUGUUUGUCUGUUGCUCCAUAGGUUUACAUAUGAGUUUUACUUAAUAGUUUAUUGAUUUAACUUGUUAGUUCAUAUGUUUAACAUUUUAAUUAUUAAAUAUUAUGGUGUAUUGUAAUGUCAUAUAUGCGAUAUAAAGCCCCUGAGAGAUUUUGUUAUGAUGCAUUAUAUUUGCUCCAAUAUGGAUCCGUCCAUUUGCUUGAAUUCGUAUGCUUAGCGCUAAGGGCUAAGUCUUUGUUUAUAUAAACUCUGUCAUUGUUUCUUAUUGUCUAGAGUCGAGUUUUUCUUUGAAUAUGUACAAUAGUGAUAUACUCUUGAGCCCUGAGGUGUAUUUUUCAGAGAUCCUUCAUCUUAUUUGUCAAUUGUUGAUUCUGUUUGCUAUUGUCUCUUAUUAGGAUAUUUAUGGUAAAUUUGCAUUGAUAGCAUCUCUUACUUAAUUUAUUUGGUAAAAGGAGUUGCAUGAUUGUUUGAUUGAAAAUUGUCUAAUGAAUUGCUUACUCAUGCAUCUUUGGCAAAAGAUAAAUCUGAUUCGUCUCUCUCCCUUUGAAAUUAAUUGAUCCCUUUUUCCUUACUUAAAAAGUGACUGAUUUUUUACUUAUUUUUAUAUGGUAAAAUAAUAUUAUUUUUUGCUCUUCUUUAAGAAAAAUAUUCUCUUAUUUAUUUAUAUUUGGUAAAAAUAUAAGGUAAAGGCUAAUUUCUUACUUGUUUAUAUUUGGUAAAAAAAAAAUAAUAAUAAUUAAUUAUUUUCUGAUUUUGAAUUCUUCUUCAUUUGUGAAAAAAUAUUACUUUAUUAAUCUAUUCUUACUUUUUUAUAUUUGGUAAUGAAAUAUUUUAAAAUUUUCUGAUUUGGUCCUCUUUUAUAAUAAGGAAAACAAUAUUUAAUUGAUUCCUUUAAAUAUUUUAUUUUUCCUUAUUUGUUUUCCCCUCUUUGCUAUAUAAAUAAGACCCCUUUUAUUCAUUAUUAGAGGAACUCAUCAACAUACACUCAUUCACACACUCUUCUACUAACUCUUACAAGUUCUCUCAUUCUCUUAUUGCUCAUACACACAUUCAACUCAUCAACACAACAACCCAUUCAUUCUCAACCAAAAAUUCUCUCAUCACUCUCCCUCCUCUCAUUGCUCUCUUGCUACUUUAAACAACAUUAAUAUUUCGGUGAAUAUUCAAGUGCUUUUCUUCGCUAUUUUUCUACUUUGUUCGAGUAAAAGGUGAAUCAUCUUGUUUUGUUUAACAGGUUAGUAUUCUUAACAUUCAUACUAUUUUCAUAUCCACAUUUGUGUAAACCAUUGUCUGUUUUUUAUAUAGAGUCCGUCACUAAAUGAUUGCAUAUUGUCUCACCUUAACUAACAAGUGUGAUUACUUGUGUAGUUAUUUAAUUACUUUGACAGGUUUCAUAUUUGAAGUUCAAGUUGAGGAUUAAUUGAAGAAGGAUUUGUUUAUUUGUUUGAAUGUACAUAUAUAUAUAUUUUUAUUUUUUCCGCUAUUUUAUUUAUUUGAAUGAUGUAACAAUUGUAACCCUAAAGAUCAUAUAAUAAAGUUAUUUGGGGGUCGUCUAGGGGAGGGGGAUUUAUAUGCUUACUUGCUCAUUAUUUUUUUUUUUAGAAAUCAUGCCUAUAGGUUUGUCUUUAACCACCUAGAUUUGAUAUUUGUAGGUGUUAUAAUCUAAUCAAUUUUCAAUUUGCUUGACGUUUAUUUAACAAGUCUUAAAAAAAAUAAGAACUAGAAUCCGUUAAUUUUUAAAUGUUAAAAUCAAAUCCUAAUAAAUCUAGUAGGUUAUUAGAUAUUAAAAUAUUAAAUCCCCAUUUGUCUUAUCAUGUAAAAACCAUGUCUAAGGUUUAAUUUGUUCAUACCAUUUACAAAUUAUGCAUAUAUGUGUCACUUUUUGAAACACCUAGAAAUCAUGUCUAUAGGCUUGUAAAUAAACUCUUAACAUAUCCAUAAAAAUGAAGAUUUUCUGCAUUCCUUGCAAUAUUUUCUUAAAUUUUAAUGAUACUAAAUCAUUUCAUGCAUUUAACAAAAUAUUUGGCUUCGUCUUAAAACCUUUGCAUUUAAUAAAUUUAUCAUCUUAAUGUUCUACUAGUUUUAGUACUUAUAAAGUUUUGCAACAUAAUUUUCUUAAAAGUCAUUAUUCAAUCUUCCUUUGAAAUUUUGGAUUGAUUGUGACAUUAUUUUUAAAAUAAAGUACUAUCUCCUAACCUAUCGUUAGUGGGAAAGUCAAAGGAACUAUGAGGUCUAGUUCCAAUUUUUAAACCGACGCAUCCUCGGAAGUACCGCCUACCCAUGAAAAAAAAAAAUUAUGUGCAUUUAUAUGUAAAUGUUUAUGUGCCUACGUGUGAACUAAAUCUUUUAAAUCAUUUUUUCAAAAACAUAACUAUUUUUUAGACCGACCUCAAAUCAAAAAUUGUUUUCUAUGGUGGAGGAGCGCGAUCAAUAAUAUCGUGGCAUCAUCCCUAUAAAGAAACAAACAUUUUUUUAAUAAAAAUUCCUAUUCAAAACUUAUCAAUUUUCAACUUUAUUUUCGCACAUAUUAAUUGCUUAAUAUUUGCCAAUUUUGUUUAUAACAUAGUGUCGUAUGUCAAAAUAAAUAAAAUGAGCUUAAUUGUUUAUUUAUUGUCAUCAC
This 3444-nucleotide long non-coding RNA is filed under the name Solanum lycopersicum (tomato). RNAcentral's name for it is "long non-coding RNA (SLYC_LNC001152)". The record is from RNAcentral. Lineage: Eukaryota; Viridiplantae; Streptophyta; Magnoliopsida; Solanales; Solanaceae.